CAUGAAGCUGGAAUCGCUAGUAAUCGCGAAUCAGAAUGUCGCGGUGAAUACGUUCCCGGGUCUUGUACACACCGCCCGUCACACCAUGGGAGUCGGAAAUGCCCGAAGUCAGUGACCUAACCGAAAGGGAGGAGCUGCCGAAGGUGGAGCCGGUAACUGGGGUGAAGUCGUAACAAGGUAGC
Molecule: ribosomal RNA, 182 nt
Filed under: uncultured bacterium
Lineage: Bacteria
Description: partial 16S ribosomal RNA
Rfam family: Bacterial small subunit ribosomal RNA
Source: RNAcentral